Molecule: long non-coding RNA, 369 nt
Organism: Neofelis nebulosa (Clouded leopard)
Lineage: Eukaryota; Metazoa; Chordata; Mammalia; Carnivora; Felidae
Exons: 2
Source: RefSeq, a predicted model, not a curated record
GAGAGAGCGUGCAAGUAGGGGAGGACUGAGAGAGAAGAUCUGAGGCCGGCUCCGUGCUGACAGCAGAGAGCCUGAUGCCGGGCUCCAACUUGUGGACCGCCAGACCAUGACCUGAGCAGAAGCCAGAGGCUUAACCGACUGCGCCACCCAGGCGCCCUCAAGCUUUCAGUCUUGGAUCACAGAGGUGGAUAACGUCUCUGUGAUCCGCCCACGUUGUUGCAUGCGUCAAUCGGUACUUGGAUCCUUUUCAUCGCUGAGGAGUAUUCCAUCCAGCAGAUAAACCACAAUCUGUUUAUCCAGUCACCAUGAUGGGACAUCGGGCUCUUUCCCGUUUGGGGCCGUUAUGAAUAAAGCUGCAAUGAACAUUCA